AGUGGUUCUCAGGUGAUGCACCCGGAACCAGAAAGGAGGGAGUCUGAUUCCGGGGUGCGUCACCCAAGAACCGCC
Myotis brandtii (Brandt's bat) is the source of this 75-nucleotide non-coding RNA. The record is from Rfam. Lineage: Eukaryota; Metazoa; Chordata; Mammalia; Chiroptera; Vespertilionidae.